UACAGGGGGGGCAAGCGUUGUUCGGAAUUAUUGGGCGUAAAGGGCUCGUAGGCGGUUUGUCGCGUCGGGAGUGAAAACCUUGGGCUUAACUCCAAGCUUGCGGUCGAUACGGGCAGACUUGAGUUCGGCAGGGGAGACUGGAAUUCCUGGUGUAGCGGUGAAAUGCGCAGAUAUCAGGAGGAACACCGGUGGCGAAGGCGGGUCUCUGGGCCGACACUGACGCUGAGGAGCGAAAGCGUGGGGAGCGAACAGG
Molecule: ribosomal RNA, 253 nt
Filed under: uncultured bacterium
Lineage: Bacteria
Description: partial 16S ribosomal RNA
Rfam family: Bacterial small subunit ribosomal RNA
Source: RNAcentral